Molecule: long non-coding RNA, 895 nt
Organism: Oncorhynchus keta (chum salmon)
Lineage: Eukaryota; Metazoa; Chordata; Actinopteri; Salmoniformes; Salmonidae
Exons: 4
Source: RefSeq, a predicted model, not a curated record
UUAGGUGUGUUUAAUGUGUUCUGUUAGUCCUGUUCAUUAGGUGUGUUUAAUGUGUUCUGUUAGUCCUGUUCAUUAGGUGUGUUUAAUGUGUUCUGUUAGUCCUGUUCAUUACAGUAGGUGUGUUUAAUGUGUUCUGUUAGUCCUGUUCAUUAGGUGUGUUUAAUGUGUUCUGUUAGUCCUGUUCAUUAGGUGUGUUUAAUGUGUUCUGUUAGUCCUGUUCAUUAGGUGUGUUUAAUGUGUUCUGUUAGUCCUGUUCAUUAGGUGUGUUUAAUGUGUUCUGUUAGUCCUGUUCAUUAGGUGUGUUUAAUGCGUUCUGUUAGUCCUGUUCAUUACAGUAGGUGUGUUUAAUGUGUUCUGUUAGUCCUGUUCAUUAGGUGUGUUUAAUGCGUUCUGUUAGUCCUGUUCAUUACAGUAGGUGUGUUUAAUGUGUUCUGUUAGUCCUGUUCAUUAGGUGUGUUUAAUGUGUUCUGUUAGUCCUGUUCAUUACAGUAGGUGUGUUUAAUGUGUUCUGUUAGUCCUGUUCAUUAGGUGUGUUUAAUGUGUUCUGUUAGUCCUGUUCAUUAGGUGUGUUUAAUGUGUUCUGUUAGUCCUGUUCAUUACAGUAGGUGUGUUUAAUGUGUUCUGUUAGUCCUGUUCAUUAGGUGUGUUUAAUGUGUUCUGUUAGUCCUGUUCAUUACAGUAGGUGUGUUUAAUGUGUUCUGUUAGUCCUGUUCAUUAGGUGUGUUUAAUGUGUUCUGUUAGUCCUGUUCAUUACAGUAGGUGUGUUUAAUGCAUUCUGUUAGUCCUGUUCAUUAGGUGUGUUUAAUGCGUUCUGUUAGUCCUGUUCAUUACAGUAGAUGUAGACUAUGUUGUGUAGUAAAGUGUGUUUAUACAGUUUAUGUUCUAUUGUGUGAAC